RNAcentral lists this long non-coding RNA (186 nucleotides) under Callithrix jacchus (white-tufted-ear marmoset). RNAcentral describes it as "lncRNA (ENSCJAG00000077931.1)". Lineage: Eukaryota; Metazoa; Chordata; Mammalia; Primates; Cebidae. The record is from RNAcentral.
UAAGGUCACCAGCACCAGGGGAGCAAACAAAUGCCUGUCUGAUUUCAUACGAAGAGACACUUCAUGUUGCAGCUGCUGAGCAGUGCCUUCAGCUGACCUACCCAUUGAAGUCUGCUGUCUUGGCUCUCAGGUAAAGUCCAUGAAUUAUCUAGUAGAGGUGAUGCAUUUGCUGAAUCCACACUCCCC